RNAcentral lists this transfer RNA (73 nucleotides) under Anaerovibrio lipolyticus. It matches the Rfam family "tRNA". From Rfam's summary of the family: Transfer RNA (tRNA) molecules are approximately 80 nucleotides in length. Their secondary structure includes four short double-helical elements and three loops (D, anti-codon, and T loops). Further hydrogen bonds mediate the characteristic L-shaped molecular structure. tRNAs have two regions of fundamental functional importance: the anti-codon, which is responsible for specific mRNA codon recognition, and the 3' end, to which the tRNAs corresponding amino acid is attached (by aminoacyl-tRNA synthetases). tRNAs cope with the degeneracy of the genetic code in two manners: having more than one tRNA (with a specific anti-codon) for a particular amino acid; and 'wobble' base-pairing, i.e. permitting non-standard base-pairing at the 3rd anti-codon position. The record is from Rfam by way of RNAcentral. Lineage: Bacteria; Bacillati; Bacillota; Negativicutes; Selenomonadales; Selenomonadaceae.
GGGCGCUUAGCUCAGCUGGGAGAGCGUCUGCCUUACAAGCAGAAUGUCAGCGGUUCGAUUCCGUUAGCGCCCA